UUAAGCAUAUCAAUAAGCGGAGGAAAAGAAACUAACAAGGAUUCCCCUAGUAACUGCGAGUGAAGCGGGAAAAGCUCAAAUUUAAAAUCUGACAGUUGUUCUGGCUGUCCGAGUUGUAAUCUAGAGAAGUGUUACCCGCGCUGGACCGUGUACAAGUCUCCUGGAAUGGAGCAUCAUAGAGGGUGAGAAUCCCGUCUUUGACAUGGACUACCAGGGCUUUGUGGUGCGCUCUCAAAGAGUCGAGUUGUUUGGGAAUGCAGCUCAAAAUGGGUGGUAAAUGCCAUCUAAAGCUAAAUAUUGGCGAGAGACCGAUAGCGAACAAGUACCGUGAGGGAAAGAUGAAAAGAACUUUGGAAAGAGAGUUAAACAGUACGUGAAAUUGCUGAAAGGGAAACGCUUGAAGUCAGUCGCAUCGACUGGAAAUCAACCUUGCUUUUGCUUGGUGUAUUUUCUGGCUUUGAUGGGUCAGCAUCAAUUUUGAUCGCUGGAUAAAGGCUUGGGGAAUGUGGCAUCUUAGGAUGUGUUAUAGCCCUUGGUUGCAUACAGCGGUUGAGAUUGAGGAACUCAGCACGCCGCGAGGGCGGGUUUCGACCACGUUUACGUGCUUAGGAUGCUGGCAUAAUGGCUUUAAUCGACCCGUCUUGAAACACGGACCAAGGAGUCUAACAUGCCUGCGAGUG
Molecule: ribosomal RNA, 680 nt
Filed under: Mallocybe leucoblema
Lineage: Eukaryota; Fungi; Basidiomycota; Agaricomycetes; Agaricales; Inocybaceae
Description: partial large subunit ribosomal RNA
Rfam family: Eukaryotic large subunit ribosomal RNA
Source: RNAcentral